CCUACGGGAGGCAGCAGUAGGGAAUCUUCCACAAUGGGCGAAAGCCUGAUGGAGCAACGCCGCGUGGGUGAAGAAGGUCUUCGGAUCGUAAAACCCUGUUGUUAGAGAAGAAAGUGCGUGAGAGUAACUGUUCACGUUUCGACGGUAUCUAACCAGAAAGCCACGGCUAACUACGUGCCAGCAGCCGCGGUAAUACGUAGGUGGCAAGCGUUAUCCGGAUUUAUUGGGGGUAAAGGGAACGCAGGCGGUCUUUUAAGUCUGGUGUGAAAGCGUUCGGCUUAAACCGAGUAGUGCAGUGGAAACUGGGUGCCUUGAGUGCAGGAGAGGUGAGUGGAAUGCCAGGUGUAGCGGUGAAAUGCGUAGAUAUAUGGAAGAACACCGGUGGCGAAGGCGGCUCUCUGGUCUGUAACUGACGCUGAGGUUCGAAAGCGUGGGUAGCAAACAGGAUUAGAUACCCUUGUAGUC
Molecule: ribosomal RNA, 465 nt
Filed under: uncultured bacterium
Lineage: Bacteria
Description: partial 16S ribosomal RNA
Rfam family: Bacterial small subunit ribosomal RNA
Source: RNAcentral